UACUCAGUACACGCACCCGGAGUGAGGUC
RNAcentral lists this non-coding RNA (29 nucleotides) under Homo sapiens (human). Lineage: Eukaryota; Metazoa; Chordata; Mammalia; Primates; Hominidae. The record is from RNAcentral.